AGCACUGUGGCGCAGAGGAAGCGUGCUGGGCUCAUAACCCAGAGGUCCAAGGAUCGAAACCUUGCAGUGCUA
This is a transfer RNA of Fistulifera solaris, 72 nucleotides long. It matches the Rfam family "tRNA". Rfam says of the family: Transfer RNA (tRNA) molecules are approximately 80 nucleotides in length. Their secondary structure includes four short double-helical elements and three loops (D, anti-codon, and T loops). Further hydrogen bonds mediate the characteristic L-shaped molecular structure. tRNAs have two regions of fundamental functional importance: the anti-codon, which is responsible for specific mRNA codon recognition, and the 3' end, to which the tRNAs corresponding amino acid is attached (by aminoacyl-tRNA synthetases). tRNAs cope with the degeneracy of the genetic code in two manners: having more than one tRNA (with a specific anti-codon) for a particular amino acid; and 'wobble' base-pairing, i.e. permitting non-standard base-pairing at the 3rd anti-codon position. The record is from Rfam. NCBI's taxonomy places the organism in Eukaryota, Bacillariophyta, Bacillariophyceae, Naviculales, Stauroneidaceae.